This 501-nucleotide ribosomal RNA is filed under the name uncultured Glomus. RNAcentral's name for it is "SSU rRNA". It matches the Rfam family "Eukaryotic small subunit ribosomal RNA", at positions 591 to 1092 of the family's 1831-position model. RNAcentral also lists the same sequence under 1 other name. The record is from RNAcentral. Lineage: Eukaryota; Fungi; Glomeromycota; Glomeromycetes; Glomerales; Glomeraceae.
CCAAUAGCGUAUAUUAAAGUUGUUGCAGUUAAAAAGCUCGUAGUUGAAUUUCGGAAUCAAUGGAUCGGUCAUGCCACUCGGUGUGUACUGGUUUGAUUGGUUCUCACCUUCUAAGGAACCGUGAUGUCAUUAAUUUGGUGUCGCGGGGAAUUAGGACUGUUACCUUGAAAAAAUUAGAGUGUUUAAAGCAAGCUCACGCUUGAAUACAUUAGCAUGGAAUAAUGAAAUAGGACAUUGUAUUCUAUUUUGUUGGUUUCUAGGAUCGAUGUAAUGAUUAAUAGGGAUAGUUGGGGGCAUUAGUAUUCAAUUGUCAGAGGUGAAAUUCUUGGAUUUAUUGAAGACUAACUACUGCGAAAGCAUUUGCCAAGGAUGUUUUCAUUAAUCAAGAACGAAAGUUAGGGGAUCGAAGACGAUCAGAUACCGUCGUAGUCUUAACCAUAAACUAUGCCGACUAGGGAUCGGAUGAUGUUAAUUUUUUAAUGACUCAUUCGGCACCUUACG